RNAcentral lists this ribosomal RNA (429 nucleotides) under Chloroflexota bacterium. RNAcentral describes it as "Chloroflexi bacterium partial 16S ribosomal RNA". It matches the Rfam family "Bacterial small subunit ribosomal RNA", at positions 355 to 776 of the family's 1533-position model. The record is from RNAcentral. Lineage: Bacteria; Bacillati; Chloroflexota.
UGGGGAAUAUUGCACAAUGGGCGCAAGCCUGAUGCAGCCAUGCCGCGUGUAUGAAGAAGGCCUUCGGGUUGUAAAGUACUUUCAGUCGGGAGGAAGGUGGUAAGGUUAAUAACCUUAUCAAUUGACGUUACCGACAGAAGAAGCACCGGCUAACUCCGUGCCAGCAGCCGCGGUAAUAUGGAGGGUGCAAGCGUUAAUCGGAAUUACUGGGCGUAAAGCGCACGCAGGCGGUUGAUUGAGUCAGAUGUGAAAUCCCCGGGCUUAACCCGGGAAUUGCAUCUGAUACUGGUCAGCUAGAGUCUUGUAGAGGGGGGUAGAAUUCCAUGUGUAGCGGUGAAAUGCGUAGAGAUGUGGAGGAAUACCGGUGGCGAAGGCGGCCCCCUGGACAAAGACUGACGCUCAGGUGUGAAAGCGUGGGGAGCAAACAGG